This 216-nucleotide ribosomal RNA is filed under the name uncultured bacterium. RNAcentral describes it as "partial 16S ribosomal RNA". It matches the Rfam family "Bacterial small subunit ribosomal RNA", at positions 8 to 213 of the family's 1533-position model. The record is from RNAcentral.
AGAGUUUGAUCCUGGCUCAGGAUGAACGCUAGCGGCAGGCUUAACACAUGCAAGUCGGAGGGGCAGCAUAAUGGUAGUAAUACUAUUGAUGGCGACCGGCGGACGGGUGCGUAACGCGUAUGCAACCUACCCUUUUACAGGGGGAUAACACUGUAGAAAUCGGUACUAAUACCCCAUAAUAUUCUGGGAGGCAUCUUUCGGAGUUGAAAGCUUUGG